AUUGAACGCUGGCGGCAUGCCUUACACAUGCAAGUCGAACGGUAACGGGCCUUCGGGUGCCGACGAGUGGCGAACGGGUGAGUAAUACAUCGGAACGUGCCCGAUCGUGGGGGAUAACGAGGCGAAAGCUUUGCUAAUACCGCAUACGAUCUACGGAUGAAAGCAGGGGACCGCAAGGCCUUGCGCGGACGGAGCGGCCGAUGGCAGAUUAGGUAGUUGGUGGGAUAAAAGCUUACCAAGCCGACGAUCUGUAGCUGGUCUGAGAGGAUGAUCAGCCACACUGGGACUGAGACACGGCCCAGACUCCUAAGGGAGGCAGUAGUGGGGAAUUUUGGACAAUGGGCGCAAGCCUGAUCCAGCCAUGCCGCGUGCAGGAUGAAGGCCUUCGGGUUGUAAACUGCUUUUGUACGGAACGAAAAGCCUUCUUUUAAUACAGGAGGGUCAUGACGGUACCGUAAGAAUAAGCACCGGCUAACUACGUG
Molecule: ribosomal RNA, 482 nt
Filed under: uncultured bacterium
Lineage: Bacteria
Description: partial 16S ribosomal RNA
Rfam family: Bacterial small subunit ribosomal RNA
Source: RNAcentral